UGGGGAAUUUUGCGCAAUGGGGGAAACCCUGACGCAGCGACGCCGCGUGAGUGACGAAGUCUUUCGGGAUGUAAAACUCUGUCAAAGGGAACGAUUAUGACGGUACCCUUAAAGGAAGCCCCGGCUAACUACGUGCCAGCAGCCGCGGUAAUACGUAGGGGGCUAGCGUUACCCGGAUUUACUGGGCAUAAAGGGCGCGUAGGCGGCUUUUUAAGUCAGAUGUUAAAUGCUGAAGCUCAACUUCAGUAUGCAUUUGAAACUGAAUUGCUAGAGAUCAGGAAAGGUAAGCGGAACUCAUAGUGUAGCGGUGAAAUGCGUAGAUAUUAUGAGGAACACCAGUUGCGAAGGCGGCUUACUGGCCUGUUUCUGACGCUGAGGCGCGAAAGCGUGGGGAGCAAACAGG
RNAcentral lists this ribosomal RNA (403 nucleotides) under uncultured bacterium. Its description in RNAcentral is "bacterial SSU rRNA". It matches the Rfam family "Bacterial small subunit ribosomal RNA", at positions 355 to 776 of the family's 1533-position model. The record is from RNAcentral.